AUUGAACGCUGGCGGCAGGCUUAGCACAUGCAAGUCGAGCGGGGAAAGGUAGCUUGCUACCUGACCUAGCGGCGGACGGGUGAGUAAUGCUUAGGAAUCUGCCUAUUAGUGGGGGACAACAUUCCGAAAGGAAUGCUAAUACCGCAUACGCCCUACGGGGGAAAGCAGGGGAUCUUCGGACCUUGCGCUAAUAGAUGAGCCUAAGUCAGAUUAGCUAGUUGGUGGGGUAAAGGCCUACCAAGGCGACGAUCUGUAGCGGGUCUGAGAGGAUGAUCCGCCACACUGGGACUGAGACACGGCCCAGACUCCUACGGGAGGCAGCAGUGGGGAAUAUUGGACAAUGGGCGAAAGCCUGAUCCAGCCAUGCCGCGUGUGUGAAGAAGGCCUUUUGGUUGUAAAGCGCUUUAAGCGAGGAGGAGGCUACCGAGAUUAAUACUCUUGGAUAGUGGACGUUACUCGCAGAAUAAGCACCGGCUAACUCUGUGCCAGCCGCCGCCGUAA
Molecule: ribosomal RNA, 501 nt
Filed under: uncultured bacterium
Lineage: Bacteria
Description: partial 16S ribosomal RNA
Rfam family: Bacterial small subunit ribosomal RNA
Source: RNAcentral